GCCAGGCAUUCUGGCGGGUGCCUGUGGUCCCAGUUACUUGGGAGGUAGAGGCAGGAGACUCGCUUGAGCCCAGGAGUUGGAGGUUGCUGUGAGCUGUGAUGUCACAGCACUCUACCCCAGGGGGACAGCUUGAGGCUCUGUCUCAAAAAAAAAAAAAGACCAGAUUUCUUUUCUUUCUUUCUUUCUUUUUUUUUUUUUUUGGAGACAGAGCCUUAAGCUAUCAUCCUGGGUAGAGUGCUGUGGCCUCACAGCUCACAGCAACCUCCAACUCCUGGGCUUAAGAGAUUCUCUUGCCUCAG
Otolemur garnettii (small-eared galago) is the source of this 299-nucleotide non-coding RNA. The record is from Rfam. Lineage: Eukaryota; Metazoa; Chordata; Mammalia; Primates; Galagidae.